Molecule: long non-coding RNA, 1308 nt
Filed under: Cyanistes caeruleus (blue tit)
Lineage: Eukaryota; Metazoa; Chordata; Aves; Passeriformes; Paridae
Description: lncRNA (ENSCCEG00000001774.1)
Source: RNAcentral
UCCGGCCCCGCAUUCCCGGCGGGAUCGGCCCCGGAACUCCCGGAAUUCCCAGCAGGAUCGGCCCCGGAAUUCCCGGAAUUCCCAGCGGGAUCGGCCCCGGAAUUCCCGGAAUUCCCGGAAUUCCCGGCGGGAUCGGCUCCGGAAUUCCCGGAAUUCCCAGCGGGAUCGGCUCCGGGAUCCCCCGAGGGCAGCGCGGCCCCAACGGAGCCCCCACAGGUGGGUCGGGAAUAUCGGGAAUAUCGGGAAUAUUUGGAAUAUCGGGAAUGGGAACUUUGGGAAUGUUGGGAAUAUCGGGAAUAUCGGGAAUACUGGGAAUAUUGGGAAUGGGAACUAUGGGAAUUACCAGGAAUGGGAAUAUUGGGGUUGGGAACAUUGGGAAUAUUGGGAAUAUUGGGAAUACUGGGAAUAUUGGGAAUAUCGGGAAUAUCGGGAAUGGAAACUUUGGGAAUUACCAGGGAUGGGAAUAUUGGGAUUGGGAAUAUUGGGAAUGUUGGGAAUAUCGGGAAUAUCGGGAAUGGGAACUUUGGGAAUGUUGGGAAUGUUGGGAAUAUCAGGAAUAUUGGGAAUAUUGGGAAUCUCAGGAAUAUCAGGAAUGGGAAAUAUGGGAAUUACCAGGAAUGGGAAUAUUGGGAUUGGGAACGUUGGGAAUGUUGGGAAUAUUGGGAAUGUUGGGAAUAUUGGGAAUAUUGGGAAUGUUGGGAAUAUUGGGAAUGUUGGGAUUGGGAAUGUUGGGAAUGGGAAUAUUGGGAAUGGGAACUUUGGGAAUUAUCAGGAAUGGGAAUAUUGGGAUUGGGAACGUUGGGAUUGGGAAUGUUGGGAAUCUCGGGAAUAUCAGGAAUGGGAAUAUUGGGAAUUUUGGGAAUGUUGGGAAUGGGAACUUUGGGAAUGGGAAUAUCAGGAAUGGGAAUAUUGGGAAUUUUGGGAAUGUUGGGAAUGGGAACUUUGGGAAUAUCGGGAAUGGGAACUUUGGGAUUGGGAAUUUUGGGAUUCAGGGUCUCCCUCCCCCCCAAUCCUGCCCAGAACAUCGGGAUCGGGAUCCGAGGGGCUGGGAAUGGGAUCCGGGAUCCGGGAAUUUGGGAUUUGGGAUCUGGGAUUUGGGAUCUGGGAUCUGGGAAUUGGGAAUUUGGGAUCUGGGAAUUUGGGAUUUGGGAAUUUGGGAUUUGGGAAUUUGGGAUUUGGGAUCUGGGAAUGGGAUCUGGGAAUUGGGAUCUGGGAAUUGGGAAUUUGGGAUUUGGGAUCUGGGGUUUGGGAAUUUGGGAUCUGGGAAUGGGAUCUGGGAUUUGGGAUCAGGAAUUCGGGGAUUUGGAA